GAUGAACGCUGGCGGCGUGCCUAAUACGUGCAAGUCGAGCGAACAGAUAAGGAGCUUGCUCCUUUGACGUUAGCGGCGGACGGGUGAGUUACACGUGGAUAACCUACCUAUAAGACUGGGAUAACUUCGGGAAACCGGAGCUAAUACCGGAUAACAUAUUGAACCGCAUGGUUCAAUAGUGAAAGGCGGCUUUGCUGUCACUUAUAGAUGGAUCCGCGCCGUAUUAGCUAGUUGGUAAGGUAACGGCUUACCAAGGCAACGAUACGUAGCCGACCUGAGAGGGUGAUCGGCCACACUGGAACUGAGACACGGUCCAGACUCCUACGGGAGGCAGCAGUAGGGAAUCUUCCGCAAUGGGCGAAAGCCUGACGGAGCAACGCCGCGUGAGUGAUGAAGGUCUUCGGAUCGUAAAACUCUGUUAUCAGGGAAGAACAAAUGUGUAAGUAACUGUGCACAUCUUGACGGUACCUGAUCAGAAAGCCACGGCUAACUACGUG
Molecule: ribosomal RNA, 497 nt
Filed under: uncultured bacterium
Lineage: Bacteria
Description: partial 16S ribosomal RNA
Rfam family: Bacterial small subunit ribosomal RNA
Source: RNAcentral